This is a long non-coding RNA of Sander lucioperca (pikeperch), 242 nucleotides long. RefSeq lists it as uncharacterized. Lineage: Eukaryota; Metazoa; Chordata; Actinopteri; Perciformes; Percidae. The transcript is spliced from 2 exons. The record is from RefSeq and is a predicted model, not a curated record.
GGGGGUUCGGUGCCUUGCUAAAGAUCACCUUGGCAGUGCCCAGGAGGUGAACUGGCACCUCUCCAGCUACCAGUCCACCUUCCAUACUUUGGUCCAUGCUGGAUUUGAACCAGCCACCCUCCGGUUCCCAAGCCAAAUCCCUACAGACUGAACUACUGCUGCCCCCAGACAUGAUGAGGGAAAAUAUUGUGUUUUCUUCCAACUUUACAAGAAGCCCAGCUGUCUGAAAAAGUAAAGAAAAA